RNAcentral lists this ribosomal RNA (114 nucleotides) under Periophthalmus magnuspinnatus. Lineage: Eukaryota; Metazoa; Chordata; Actinopteri; Gobiiformes; Gobiidae. The record is from RNAcentral.
AUUUUGAGCCAUAACAGCUUGUCAAAGCUUGAUCUUAUCAGAUCUCAGAAGCUAAGCAAGACCGGGCCUGGUUAAUACUUGAAUGAACCGCUGGGAAUAUCAGGUGCCACAGUG